AUAGUACUUCCUCCGUCCGGAAAUACUUGUCGGGGAAAUGGAUGCACCUAGAAGUAUUUAAGUUUUUAGAUGCAUCCAUUUAUAUUCAUUUCUGUGGCAAGUAUUUCCGGGCGGAGGGAGUAGUAG
Triticum aestivum (bread wheat) is the source of this 126-nucleotide non-coding RNA. The record is from Rfam. NCBI's taxonomy places the organism in Eukaryota, Viridiplantae, Streptophyta, Magnoliopsida, Poales, Poaceae.